CCUACGGGAGGCAGCAGUGGGGAAUCUUGCACAAUGGAGGAAACUCUGAUGCAGCGAUGCCGCGUGAGUGAAGAAGGCCUUUGGGUUGUAAAGCUCUUUUGUAGGGGAAGAUAAUGACUGUACCCUAAGGAUAAGGUCCGGCUAACUUCGUGCCAGCAGCCGCGGUAAUACGAAGGGACCUAGCGUAGUUCGGAAUUACUGGGCGUAAAGCGCGCGUAGGCCGUUGAGUUAGUUAAUUGUGAAAUCCCAAAGCUUAACUUUGGAACUGCAAUUAAAACUGCUCGACUAGAGUUUGAUAGAGGAAAGCGGAAUACAUAGUGUAGAGGUGAAAUUCGUAGAUAUUAUGUAGAACACCAGUUGCGAAGGCGGCUUUCUGGAUCAACACUGACGCUGAGGCGUGAAAGUAUGGGUAGCAAAGAGGAUUAGAUACCCUCGUAGUCCAUACCAUAAACGAUGAUUGCUAGAUGUUGGAAAUUUAUUUUACAGUAUCGCAGCUAACGCAUUAAGCAAUCCGCCUGGGGAGUACGACCGCAAGGUUAAAACUCAAAGGAAUUGAACGGCUGAGAGUGCGAGCGACGACGAGGAGAGG
Molecule: ribosomal RNA, 589 nt
Filed under: uncultured bacterium
Lineage: Bacteria
Description: bacterial SSU rRNA
Rfam family: Bacterial small subunit ribosomal RNA
Source: RNAcentral